This 706-nucleotide ribosomal RNA is filed under the name Pectobacterium carotovorum. RNAcentral's name for it is "bacterial SSU rRNA". It matches the Rfam family "Bacterial small subunit ribosomal RNA", at positions 56 to 751 of the family's 1533-position model. Lineage: Bacteria; Pseudomonadati; Pseudomonadota; Gammaproteobacteria; Enterobacterales; Pectobacteriaceae. The record is from RNAcentral.
UGCAAGUCGAGCGGUAGCACAGAGGAGCUUGCUCCUUGGGUGACGAGCGGCGGACGGGUGAGUAAUGUCUGGGAAACUGCCUGAUGGAGGGGGAUAACUACUGGAAACGGUAGCUAAUACCGCAUAACGUCUACGGACCAAAGCGGGGGACUUUCGGGCCUCGCGCCAUCAGAUGUGCCCAGAUGGGAUUAGCUAGUAGGUGAGGUAAUGGCUCACCUAGGCGACGAUCCCUAGCUGGUCUGAGAGGAUGACCAGCCACACUGGAACUGAGACACGGUCCAGACUCCUACGGGAGGCAGCAGUGGGGAAUAUUGCACAAUGGGCGCAAGCCUGAUGCAGCCAUGCCGCGUGUGUGAAGAAGGCCUUAGGGUUGUAAAGCACUUUCAGCGGGGAGGAAGGCGGUGAGAUUAAUACUCUCAUCGAUUGACGUUACCCGCAGAAGAAGCACCGGCUAACUCCGUGCCAGCAGCCGCGGUAAUACGGAGGGUGCAAGCGUUAAUCGGAAUGACUGGGCGUAAAGCGCACGCAGGCGGUUUGUUAAGUCAGAUGUGAAAUCCCCGAGCUUAACUUGGGAACUGCAUUUGAAACUGGCAAGCUAGAGUCUUGUAGAGGGGGGUAGAAUUCCAGGUGUAGCGGUGAAAUGCGUAGAGAUCUGGAGGAAUACCGGUGGCGAAGGCGGCCCCCUGGACAAAGACUGACGCUCAGG